UACGUAGGGGGCUAGCGUUGUCCGGAAUCAUUGGGCGUAAAGAGCGUGUAGGCGGUCCGGUAAGUCCGCUGUGAAAGUCGGGGGCUCAACCCUCGAAUGCCGGUGGAUACUGUCGGGCUAGAGUGCGGAAGAGGCGAGUGGAAUUCCCGGUGUAGCGGUGAAAUGCGCAGAUAUCGGGAGGAACACCAAUGGCGAAGGCAGCUCGCUGGGACGUGACUGACGCUGAGACGCGAAAGCGUGGGGAGCAAACAGG
This 253-nucleotide ribosomal RNA is filed under the name uncultured bacterium. RNAcentral's name for it is "partial 16S ribosomal RNA". It matches the Rfam family "Bacterial small subunit ribosomal RNA", at positions 524 to 776 of the family's 1533-position model. The record is from RNAcentral.